AAUAGAUACCCAGGUAGUCCACGCCGUAAACGAUGGAUACUAGCUGUCCGGCGCAAGCUGGGUGGCUAAGCGAAAGUGAUAAGUAUCCCACCUGGGGAGUACGUUCGCAAGAAUGAAACUCAAAGGAAUUGACGGGGGCCCGCACAAGCGGUGGAGCAUGUGGUUUAAUUCGAUGAUACGCGAGGAACCUUACCAGGGCUUAAAUGUAGUGGGACAGGUCCAGAGAUGGGCCCUUCUUCGGACUCAUUACAAGGUGCUGCAUGGUUGUCGUCAGCUCGUGCCGUGAGGUGUCAGGUUAAGUCCUAUAACGAGCGCAACCCCUGUCGUUAGUUGCCAGCGAGUGAAGUCGGGAACUCUAACGAGACUGCCGGUGCAAACCGUGAGGAAGGUGGGGAUGACGUCAAAUCAUCACGGCCCUUACGUCCUGGGCUACACACGUGCUACAAUGGCCGGUACAGAGAGCAGCCACGCCGCAAGGCGGAGCGAAUCUACAAAAACCGGUCACAGUUCGGAUCGGGGUCUGCAACUCGA
Molecule: ribosomal RNA, 531 nt
Filed under: uncultured bacterium
Lineage: Bacteria
Description: bacterial SSU rRNA
Rfam family: Bacterial small subunit ribosomal RNA
Source: RNAcentral